This is a non-coding RNA of Gopherus flavomarginatus (Mexican gopher tortoise), 82 nucleotides long. Lineage: Eukaryota; Metazoa; Chordata; Testudines; Testudinidae. The record is from the annotation of a RefSeq genome assembly.
GUAGUUGUGGCCGAGUGGUUAAGGUGAUGGACUAGAAAUCAAUUGGGGUCUUCCCACGCAGGUUUGAAUCCUGCUAACUAUG